ACAUAGCCUUAUGAGUAAAUAAAACAUAUAAGGUGUUUCCUGCCCACUGAAGAGACCUAUAAAUUUCUCUUUUAAGGGCCGCAGUACCUUGACUGUGCUAAGGUAGCAUAAUAAAUUGGCUUAUAAUUGAAGUCGAGUAUGAAAGGAGUAACUAGGACCUUCUGUCUUUUUUAGAAUAAUUAUAAAUUACUUAAUUAGGUGAAAAUACCUAAGUAGCUUUUAUUAGACGAGAAGACCCUAAGAGUUUUUAUAAAAUAUAAUAAGUAAAUAUUAUUGUAAAAGUUUUUGUUGGGGCAACAUAUUAACAAUCAAUUUAAUGUAAUUCUUAUUAACUAAACUAAUACAUUUUAUUAUUUAAGAUUAAUACUACCUUAGGGAUAACAGCAUAAUUUCUUAAUUUUGAAGAUUGUGACCUCGAUGUUGGAUUAGGGACUAUUUACGGCUAGUGGCUUAAUUAGAAUGUUCUGUUC
Molecule: ribosomal RNA, 470 nt
Filed under: Helicodiscus barri
Lineage: Eukaryota; Metazoa; Mollusca; Gastropoda; Stylommatophora; Helicodiscidae
Description: partial large subunit ribosomal RNA
Rfam family: Archaeal large subunit ribosomal RNA (bases 1-212)
Source: RNAcentral